GAUGAACGCUGGCGGCGUGCCUAAUACAUGCAAGUCGAGCGAACGGACGAGAAGCUUGCUUCUCUGAUGUUAGCGGCGGACGGGUGAGUAACACGUGGAUAACCUACCUAUAAGACUGGGAUAACUUCGGGAAACCGGAGCUAAUACCGGAUGAUAUUUUGAACCGCAUGGUUCAAAAGUGAAAGACGGUCUUGCUGUCACUUAUAGAUGGAUCCGCGCUGCAUUAGCUAGUUGGUAAGGUAACGGCUUACCAAGGCAACGAUGCAUAGCCGACCUGAGAGGGUGAUCGGCCACACUGGAACUGAGACACGGUCCAGACUCCUACGGGAGGCAGCAGUAGGGAAUCCUCCGCAAUGGGCGAAAGCCUGACGGAGCAACGCCGCGUGAGUGAUGAAGGUCUUCGGAUCGUAAAACUCUGUUAUUAGGGAAGAACAUAUGUGUAAGUAACUGUGCACAUCUUGACGGUACCUAAUCAGAAAGCCACGGCUAACUACGUG
Molecule: ribosomal RNA, 497 nt
Filed under: uncultured bacterium
Lineage: Bacteria
Description: partial 16S ribosomal RNA
Rfam family: Bacterial small subunit ribosomal RNA
Source: RNAcentral